GCACGGCACCUUGCGGCGCUACUUGCACGAGGCCUCUCCGUCAGUUGCCAAAAGCCAUCAACCGCCACGAGCGAUGCCAAACACAACUCACAACAACCGAUGGCAAUCGGAACGUACUGAGUUUAGCCCCAUGCGCACGGCACCUUGCGGCGCUACUUGCACGAGACCUCGCCGUUCAGUUGCCAAAAGCCAUCAGCUGCCACGAGCGAUGUCGCCUCCCGAUUUUGCCCGCAACAACUGAUGGCAUUCGGAACAUACUAAGCUUAGCCCCAUGACGUAUGGCACCUUGCGGCGCUACUUGCACGACGCUCCGCCGUUCCGUUGCCAAAAGCCAUCGGCCGCCACAAGCGAUGCCCACCACCAGACGUACUACGAGCACACACGAGUACUUGCUGACACGCGUUGACGAACAUCUGGGACGUAGCACGGACAAGCCGUGCAUGCCCCCAAUGCCCACGCCGCAUGCCAGCGUCCCCCGUGCAUGCCCGCCUCGGCCAGGCAGCAAGCACCUUGAGGUGCC
RNAcentral lists this long non-coding RNA (520 nucleotides) under Nicotiana tabacum (common tobacco). Its description in RNAcentral is "long non-coding RNA (NTAB_LNC018165)". The record is from RNAcentral. Lineage: Eukaryota; Viridiplantae; Streptophyta; Magnoliopsida; Solanales; Solanaceae.